CAAACUAUGACAGCCAAUACUCUUCCACAGGGACAGUCAUAAACCCUCAUAGUUUGGUUGGCUCCUUUAGGCACCAAUCACUUGGAACAUGUUUGGGACACCCCCUUCUAGGACUUCACAAAUCUUCCAAAUCCCUUCUUGCACUAUAUCACCUUCAAAACACCAACAGCACGCUGUCCAUCACAGUCUGAGACACAAAAUCAAACUUUGUGUCCUCUCUAGCACGUGCCAACCUCUUCAUAGAACCCUGCAAGGAAUUUACAAACAAAUUACAUGUUUUAAAGGGUCAUUCCACGCCUUGGCAUUUAUUUAUCAACGCGGAAGUGACCCCAAAUACAUUUAUAACUGUCACGGGUUACCCUAGACUAGGGUUUUGACAGUUUUUACUAAAAUUGAUAUAACUUCUACAAAUCAGAAUGAAAUUCAAUGAAACAAAGGGGAAACUAUAUAGGAUUUACUCCUCUAACAUAUCCAAUUUAUUUGCAACUCCAAUGAAUAUAUUAAAGAAAUGAAAAAUUCAAACUAGCAGACUGUAGCUUGAAAACUCAAAGAAAUCGCACGGUAAAACUCAAAAAUUUAUUGAUAGUGCUUCAUUAUAUUGCCCAACCGACCUGUGGGACGAUUAAAAAGAAGUAUAUAUAGAUCUCCUUAUUCCCCCAAUGUUUAUAACUGACUUUUGAAUUCUAACUAACCUCAAACAACCUUUCAUACAAUUUUUUUUUUUGCAAUAAUGCAUUGACAACUUUUGUAUUUUUGCACUAAUAAAGUAAAACUCAACCUACUGACCCUAGAUGACUCUAAACCAUCUAUUUGGACCUUAGAGACCCAAAUACAACCCUAUUGCAUCAAAAUUCACAAUUUGACUUGGUUUGACCCUUGAUGGCCUUACAGGCUUACAUGACCUCAAUGACACAAAUUGCCUCACAAUGUGGAUUCAAAGGAUGUAAUGGGUAAUUCAGAGCUUAUUUAACACAAAAAGAAAUCAAAUGACCUUAUCAUGGCCUUAUUACAUGAAUUUCAACAAAAGACACAAAAUGGUUCAUAAUCACUUCAAGGGGAAACUUGGUGCUCCUCCACCACCCUGAAAGACGUUCAAGCCCCUACACAGGUCAAAUCUUCUCCAUUGACACGCAAAUUAUGGAGAAACGGCAUCAACACUCUUGCCACCUGCAAUGCUUUGAUAGAGUAUUUAAAAAUGUGGGAAUCUAAUGUUUGUUUUAAAGUUUUGAAAGCUGGAGAUUUGAUAGCGGUAAGGGAGACUUUUUUAAAAGUUGAAAAGACCGUUAGUACUGUAUGCAUACAAUACUCCAUCAAUUUUGGUAAGUCUCCCCAAGCAAAUGUGCAUAAAUAUACGUAGCUUUGGUUUGUGGCUCACAAUACCCCACUUGCCUUUUCUUCUGUUUCUUUAGACCAAAAAAAAUGUUGCAGGUUCGAGGAAAAAAAUGGCUUCUGGAAAAGCAGUUGCAGUUGCCAAUAUUUUGGCACUUUUGGGCAUGCUAAGCAUUCUUGCGUUGGUUGAAGGAUGUGUGGAAUGUGAGAAGCUGUCAGCAGUGUUGUGUGCUUUCUCUGUCUCAUCGGCGGGAGCUCGGUGUGUGCUCGAGAAGAAAUACUCCCGUCACCACUACUCAUGAAGCAUCAGUAGAAGUCCUCUGCCAGGCAAUACAUUCUCUUACGAUACUCAGAUCUUCUUUUCUUUUCUUUGUUCAAUGGAAUCCCACUACUAGUAUAAUUUUAGCGAAUAAUGAGUGAUACAUGUGUAUUCCAGUCAUCGGGCAUAUUUGCAGAGGAGAUGACUGAAUGGAUUGAGAGCGAGGACUGCCUGAAAAUAUGUGGGUUGCAGAGAAUAAGUGUGGGCAUGUCAACUGACGGUCUUUUUGAAUAUUUUUAUUUCACCUCUAGUCUGUACUCAGACAAGUGCCAAAACAAUUGCCCUAACAUUGUGAAUCUGUAACUCAAUCUGGCUGCAGGGGAAGGAAUAUAUUUACCUCACCUGUGUGAAGCUCACAAAACACGAAGCAGGCGAAUGGUGAUGAAGACUGCGGCUGCGCCAACUAUAAUGCCUUUUUCCCUUACUGGAGAAGCUGGCUCCACACGCUAGAACAUAAUAUCUGUCAGUGCGGAAAAGUGGCUAGGAAGCGAAAAAGCAUCGUUAUAAUUUGCCAGCUUGCGAUUACUAUGAAGAAAGACCUGGCGACAAUGUUCUGCAAUAAGUUUUCAAGUAAAAUCUUGAAUCCAAAGAGCCACUCUGCAUCAUAAAGUUUUGAAACCAACACUCUGCAUUAUAAAGUUUUGAAACCAACUGUGAUGUGUUUACACCAUGUUGUGUAGGCUGGUUUGGAUCUACAUUGAGAAUCGUUGCAUCCUUUGUGUAAUUCUUUGAACAAUAAAUCAAACCUCUAAUAGGGCAACCUUCAUAAAGAACGCGAGGAUGUGUGCAGGAACAUUUUUAUUGAAGUUCAAACUUAGAUCUUCUGAAUGUUUGUUCUCAAAGAAUGCACCAUCAAAUUCAUUUUCAAAACAAUGACUGCUAAGUUCUUCUAA
Molecule: long non-coding RNA, 2541 nt
Organism: Cryptomeria japonica (Japanese cedar)
Lineage: Eukaryota; Viridiplantae; Streptophyta; Pinopsida; Cupressales; Cupressaceae
Exons: 3
Source: RefSeq, a predicted model, not a curated record